Long non-coding RNA from Homo sapiens (human), 1785 nucleotides. RefSeq lists it as uncharacterized. The transcript has 3 exons. Lineage: Eukaryota; Metazoa; Chordata; Mammalia; Primates; Hominidae. The record is from RefSeq and is a predicted model, not a curated record.
GGGUGGGAGAGGGGGCGGAGGUUCCGGGAGAACCAAGUCUCUGGGCACUCUUUGCUGACUCUCCAGCUUAGAAUCUCAAGCUUUGGGGCCUGAAAGGAAAGCUGUUUUUUAAGGCAUUCGACCUAAACCAAGUUUUAAAAGUAUCUUUAAGUAUUUCCUUUUUUUUUUUUUUUUUUAGGAUAAUGAAACCAUAGUUGCAACACCCAGAGCUUGGGCUUAGAAGCAACUUUGACAGGAUCUGUAGCUGUGAAAUUUGCAUCCCUGUAACACAGUAACUUAUCAUGACAAAGAUCUGUUGACGUCAAUUCCUUUAUUACUCUUAUUUGUAGGCCAAGGGAGGGACCCAGGGCCCUGAUAUUGUUGCCUUGGUGCUGUAAGGAUUGGAUCUGGGUCACUCUGACCUACAAAAUUGAUACAUGGCCCUGGAAUAACCUGCACAUUUUGAAGAGGAAGAAACAAAACAAUCGGUUACUAAAGGCUUGGCUGACUCCAGAUCGUGCAAUUUCACGGGCUCCCAGGAGAUGGCAGCCACUUUUUGGAAAACAGUCUUUAAAGAGCAUUGCUGGGUGACCGGUCGAGGGGCAGGACAUGCAGGAUGAUAGUCGCCUGCUGAAAAGGCACUUCUGACAGGCCAGGGUGCAGCACAGAGUCUGCCCAGAGAACCACGUGUGUUAGGAAGAGUGAUGUCCAACCUUGGCAGCUGCUGUGUUCCCAGGAGUAAAACAGAGAUUCUCGGCAUCAUCCUCAAAAGGACCCGUGGAGAUCGCUGCACGGAGUCAAUCACCUGACAAGUGCACCAAGAAUGCCCUGUGCCUGGAACUGGCUGCCGUGGAACCCACAGACGCGCAGCAUGGGGGAUCUGCCAGGAGGAGCCGUGCGGCUGCCCAGCUCAUCCCCACCCUCCAAGAGCCCACAGACGCGCAGCAUGGGGGCCCUGCCAGGAGGAGCCGUGGGGCUGCCCAGCUCAUCCCCACCCUCCAAGAGCCCACGUGCCUCUGCGCAUCAGCCACAGUCUGAGCUGGGCACAGAAUCGACUCGUGGCCUCUUCAGUUUCCUCAGUGGCUCUUUCUCGACCCCGCUUCUUAGAGCCAGGGUGGCAACUGAGAGCAAUGGCGAAACAGGUGAAAAUGGGGAGAAAGGGCAGCCAGCGCUGAGAUCCACACCCACUGGGAGCCUCCCCUGCUCUCCAGGUCCUGAUAAUUCAGAUGACAAAGCACUCAGCCAGUCAGCUCUAAUCCUGUAGCUGCACUGACUCUCUGUUUGUGACUUUAAAAUGAAAGCGAUCCUGUGUGUAUUGAUAACACCAGUGAGCCACUUUCAGAUUCUGAAUCAAAAUUGUCAGCUGUUUCUCAUCAGACUGUCGAUGGCACCUGCCGGUGAUGACACUGGUCAGGGGGCAGCCGCAACCUGGGUGAGAACAAGCUCCUGGGGGAUCCUCACGUGCAGCCCGGGAUGGGGACCACUACCAUAUGGGAAAACAAAGCUCGAUUAGUGCAUAUUCGACUUUACUUACAUUUUGAUUUAUUGUAUUUAUAAUUAUAGAGACAGUUAUCUGCUCCUUGGGAAGUAGAUUGAAGGAGAGAGAAGUAGAAAAAUAGUUACGCACAAUCUCAUUACCCAGAUAUGCCCACUGUUGAUAUUUUGUCAUAUUUCCUCCUGUGUUUUUAUUACUGGUUUUUUUUAAAGCAUAAUUGAAAUCAUACAGUAUAUAUGAUUUCGGAAACUUGAAAAAAUUUAACAACAUAAAAAUUUCCUCAUGCAUUAAACAAUUUUGUAAACACAAAA